Molecule: non-coding RNA, 79 nt
Organism: Oryza meridionalis
Lineage: Eukaryota; Viridiplantae; Streptophyta; Magnoliopsida; Poales; Poaceae
Source: Rfam
AGCGAAAUGAGGAGGAAAAAUCAUCCGAAGUUUUUCUUGUGGAAAACACGUACAUGGUCUUCAAAGUUCUCUGAUCGCU